Long non-coding RNA from Vigna unguiculata (cowpea), 941 nucleotides. RefSeq lists it as uncharacterized. The record is from RefSeq and is a predicted model, not a curated record. NCBI's taxonomy places the organism in Eukaryota, Viridiplantae, Streptophyta, Magnoliopsida, Fabales, Fabaceae.
CAAAUCUUAUUAUCAUGCAAUUGUGACGUUUGGUUUAUGGUAUAUAUAAAAGUUUAUUUGUACUAUAUAAAAGCGAAUUAUCAAAAAGCUAGUAGUGGAGGUGGUAACUAAAUGUUUUUAACUUAGGAUACGAAAAUCAUUUUUUUUUUUUAAUAUAAAACAGUCUUAAAUAUAAGGCCUGACAGAAAAGCAUAUAUAUAAUAUUAUGGGCCUUCAUAUGAGGGAGGUUGAACCGGCCCAAUAAUGUUAUGGGCCUUAUGGGCCUCUUUCGUUUGCUUUGCUCCUGUUCUUCGUUCUUCACUGCGCUUCCCUCUUCAUUGGUUGUCACUGUGACUGUGAUUUCUCCUUCUUCUUCUUCUUCUUAAGAUUGCUCCAAUCUUUUCUUUUCCAUUACUCAUGGCUCCUCGUGUUGCGUGUUGGGUCGGCGAGAAACACUCCAAGUUUCAACAAUGGCUGCAACUAUUACUUCCAGAUCUUCUCUCGUGUGUCUUCGCCUUCACUCAUUGUUAUUCUGCCUCAUCACCGAUUUUUCCUCAUGGGUUUUCAUAAAAGCUUCCAAUUUUUAGGUGAAGUAAUUAACUUUGGUUUAUUCUUUGAAAACCAAACUAGUGGGUCGUUCUAUGUUUGGUUGAUUAAGCAAUAGCUUCUCUGGUUCAUUAUGAUGACAUGAAAUAUCAUCCACCACCAAUUUCUUUCCCAGGUGUAGAGAAGAGAACCUUGUUAUGCAAAAUUCUGAGACAUGGAUUGGUGAAUAGAUGAUGCAUGAGUGAUGAAAGAAUCUGUGACCAUUUAGCAGCAGCAACAGACCUUCAUACAGAUGAGGAUGGUUCUGAAGGUAGUUGAUGAUUAAGGGCUAAAAAGUUAUGUGCAUUCACAUUCCAAUGGAAAGGCGAAGAAAGGAAAGAUAGUAUAUUGUGUUGUUCCUGAUUUUAUGCGAAGUU